AACACAGAGUAAGAAACCAUCGAUGAAGUCGAAGCGGACUGGAAAGUCCCGACAUAGAGGGUGAGAUCCCCGUACACGUAAGUCGAUGGCUCUGAAGCGUCACCCCAAGUAACACGGAACCCCUGAAAUUCCGUGUGAAUCUGGCGGGACCACCCGUUAAGCCUAAAUACUCCUUGAUGACCGAUAGCGGACAAGUACCGUGAGGGAAAGGUGAAAAGUACCCCUGGCGGGGAGUGAAAUAGUACCUGAAACCAUGUGCCUACAAUCCGUUGGAGCCCUUCGGGGUGACAGCGUGCCUUUUGAAGAAUGAGCCUGCGAGUUUGCGUUGUGUCGCAAGGUUAACCCGUGUGGGGAAGCCGUAGCGAAAGCGAGUCCUAAUAGGGCGACUGAGUGGCACGAUCAAGACCCGAAGCGAAGUGAUCUAUCCAUGGGCAGGUUGAAGCGCGGGUAAGACCGCGUGGAGGACCGAACCCACUUAGGUUGAAAACUGAGGGGAUGACCUGUGGAUAGGGGU
RNAcentral lists this ribosomal RNA (514 nucleotides) under uncultured bacterium. RNAcentral describes it as "bacterial LSU rRNA". It matches the Rfam family "Bacterial large subunit ribosomal RNA", at positions 305 to 822 of the family's 2925-position model. The record is from RNAcentral.